Long non-coding RNA from Falco peregrinus (peregrine falcon), 4462 nucleotides. RefSeq lists it as uncharacterized. Lineage: Eukaryota; Metazoa; Chordata; Aves; Falconiformes; Falconidae. The record is from RefSeq and is a predicted model, not a curated record. The transcript is spliced from 3 exons.
CUGUGCUAUCUGUCUCAACAUUGCUGGCUGACCGCAAACCGACUCAGAGGCCCUGUAGAGAACUUGUCUAUAUCUGGCUUCAGCGGACCACGGACGUUUACCCAAACACCGCUGCAUCUGCUUGACCACAAAAACCACACAUCUCCUGUUUUGUACCCUCAUCCCAGCAAGUACGCCCAGACCCCAGAGGAUGAAAAAUUCUCUGAUAAGACGGUAUGGGUGCUUGCACCACCACCGAGUGAGGGGUGAGGCUAUGCAAAGCAGCUCUUGGAAGGAGCAGAGACUUUUGGGUGAACAACUCUCAAAUAUCUAUAAAAGAACCGUGACAACCAGCACCAAAUGGAAUUCCCCAUCUGACGUGAAGUCAAUCCGGGCUGACGGGAUCCCCAGCUCCAUGCGGUGUUUUCCUUCUUGCCCUGCAAAGAGCUUUGAUUGACCUGCAGAAAUACAAGUGGUUACCUUGGAAAGGACUGAGACAAGCGUUUCCAUGGUGCAGAACAGCACUGCGCAUGCCUUAGUGAAAUCAGAAACAAACCCCUCUUCUCUCUAUUGGGAAAGUCCCACUAUGCAGCUGUAGCUGCCGAUCCAUUAGAAUAUUGUUUCAGAUCUUCAGAAAUUGCUUUUAACAUGUAUCUCUUUUUUUUCCCCUGCAGAACAGUUGGUAAUAUACAUGGGUUUAAUAUGGAACUUAGUCUAAGUAAUUAUAUUGUAAUUAGUAUAACUAAUUAUGCUGACGGAGAAAGCAACAGUGAUGAGAAAAAAUAAAUGAGAAAUGGUUAUAUCCAUGGAAAACUUUCCUAUUAGCAAAUAUGAUAGGUUCCCAAAAUUUGAAGGGAACCAAAGGAAAAUAUGAACUUCCUGGAUGGUAGUAAAGAAUCCACCAUCACUUCUGUUUCCACAAGCUCUUAGCAACAGCUUCUACACUGUUUCUACAGGGACUAAACAGAAAAAGAAAACCAAUGCAAAGGGCCACUGAAUCAAUGCAACCCAUUCUGGACAUUUCAGGAAAAGGAAAUUAAAACCCAGAAAACAGUUUGAUCAAGUGAGCAAAACCAAACAUUUUUUCUUCACCAUAGCAAAUGAAUCUUCAGAAAUGAAAGCUUAUCAUAUUUUCACUCUACUUCUCAUAGAAGAUGUAAAAAAUUGUUGCUUUGAAUACCUUUAAACAUUAUAAAGAGGAUUUCUUUACUCUUAUAUCCUACCAAGAUUAUAUGUUGUAUUGAACAAAGGCUUUUUAUCUCUUUCAAAUGCUCUAUGUAUUAACAUAACCUAAUUUAGUAUGUUCCAUUAUGCCCAAUCAAGAUUUUAUUAGUUAUAAUUGAUUUAAAUGGGCAGAUAUUUUCCUUCCAGUUUGAGCCAAAAUUAGCACACAACCAACUUAAAUCAGCAGUUUCCCAAAUUGUUACGGUAUUCUGGACCAGCAACCCCAGAAAAAGUAGACCCUAAAGACUCAAAUUUUACAAAAUAACCUCAGUGUUGAUAAUGGAUAAAGAGAAGUUUUGGAAUCUUAGCAGCUAAUGGGUGUUUGAAACCCCAGAUUUGACCUUUGUAGUUUGACCCAAUCUGCAAUUUUAAUAUAAAUGAUGCAGGCCUAUUUACUCACCAUGCUCAACCCAGGGAACAUAGCCUAGCCUUGAAUUGUGAACACAGUAGAACUGUGAACACAUGUAGAUCUACCCAUGCGCCUGCCCAGAUGCAACACUAGAGAAAGGGCUAGUGACAGUCAUCUUUAAUGACACACAAGCUGGGAAGAAAAUCCUGGAAUGACAGGAACUGAAACAAAAGGCACACAAAGUAUAGCAGAAAGAGCAGCUAGAACCUUUGACGAAAUUCAGUACUAAUAAUUUGCCCUCUGUCAUUUCAUUUUCUAAACAUAUCUUAGGAACUAAAAAAUGUAAAAAAAAGGGAAAAGCAAUAAGAAAGUAUCUACAGAUUUUGAGAGUCCUACCACCAAGGCUUGGCAACCUCUUUUCCAAAGGACCCUACACUGCUGUGACAUACUCAGAAGUAACAGGACACACACUAUGAAAGGACAUUCCUGUAAGGUGCUUGUCUAUUGUCUUAGUAUGUAUAAUAUGGCAUAUCCACAUUGUAACAUAAGAUUUUCCCAUAGUCUAAUACCAACAGUGAAUGUUUUCUGCUCAAACAUACCUACAGUUGGAGAGAGUUCAGCCACACGUUUUGUGUUGCUCCUGCAUGAGCUCCUCAAAAAGCCUAAAACAGGUUUGGAGGCACCUGCACAAGUCUAUAAUGACUGAGCACUGGCAGGAUGAUACUUCACAAAAUCAACUAACAUUUGAUCAUGGAAACACAUCUGUUGCUUAGACUCUGCCAAAGACUAUUUUGACAGCUCUAUAUAAAGGCUCAAGUAUUCCAGAGCAUGGCAUUUCUGUAGGUUUAUAGAGACAGACUGGAGAUAAAAAGGAAAUCCUUCAGCCAGAAACCUUAGAGGACAAGGUUGCUGUGCUCCUUAAGUAUCAGUCUGUUUAAAAAACAGAACUCAAGAAACAGAAUGGUGUGUUAGGUUGACUGUGCCUCAGAGAGCCAGCCUGUAGAUGGAUGUGCUUUUUCUAAACCUGCUCUGUGUACUAUUAGCUUACCAAGUGGUAAAUUAGUCUUGCCUAUGUAACACCCGUGCCAUCAUCACUGCUUGUGAAUCUGCCCCUCUGGGAGCAUUUUUUUUUUUAGAAUUGCCAGCAAAGAUGCAGCUUUAAGACAUUCAAGUCCAUCAGUGUGCAGGGGAGAAAUCACUGGGCAUGAGGAAAUUUUACUGUGAAUCAUGCUUUUUGGGUGGGAGACUCAAGUAAAGAUUAAAUAAAGGUUUGAGGCAUUUUCCCCCACAAUAUUGCACCUGGCAAAUUUCCAGAGAGAAAUAAACUGGGAUGUAGGAGACAGACUGAAAGCUUCUCAAAGACAAAAUGAAAAGCUACAUUUGGGUCCAUUUAAAAAAAUUACACCAUUUUAGAAGAAAUGAAGAAUAUAAAUCCAGUCGGAAUGAAGUUAGGACCUUACUAAAAACUAAAUUUCUCUUGUAAUUUUUGUGGCUUUGUAUUUCUAUCACUAUAUUUCAUCUACAGCAUAAACAUUGAAAAUACAGCCUUUAAUACCAGGCCUAAAAAAGACUUAAAGUUAUUCCUUUUCUGAACAAUGCUUUUCCAGCAGUGUAGAUCUACAGUAUUGGCAGACUUUAAACACUGUCCUUUAGACAUACCGUUCCCCAGCGUGUUCUUUAUUUCAGACAGACCAAUACUUCAGCUGCCUCACAAAACCUCCUCAUUUAGGAUUUCUAGUUGAAAGAUUUCCUUUUUUAUGACAAUGAUGUCACAGAUUAGUGAGGGUAGCUACUUCCUACCGACCCCUGUUAUCCAAGAUUGUGUUAUAUGUGGUUAGUUUCAUUUUUCAUUCUCUGCUUUCAAAAUUAACUCAGCUGUGGAUGAAGAUAUAUAUCCUAUUAGUGCUAUCCCUUUGGGGAAUGCCUACAACAGCUGCAGCUGCCAUUUCAUUUUUCCUUAAUACCCUUGUGUCCUAGAAUACAAAUAAAACAAAUGUUGGAAUCUUGUCCACUGCACACCCCACAUCGUAUUAUUUUAAACAUACUGUACAGCUACAUAAAAUGCCCCUGAUAAGACAUUGUUAGUCACUUGCAAAGAAGCCAUUAGAAUAACAGUUUGUGCCUCCAUAAUCCAUCCCACAAUAAAGAAAUUCCACACUGAAUACCAAUAAAUGAACCAAGAUCUCAUAAGCCUUCUUAACUCUGAACAGUGAAAUAUUAAAAUACUGCAGAAACCAUGACAGCUGACAGGUGGAGUCAUUAGAAAAAUGUAUGCAAAUCCAGCAGCAAAUGACGCUGCAUAAAGGGGUUUGCAGCUAAUAACUUGUGCUGAUGUGCAGUCCCAUAUUCUGAAAAGAAAACGUCUAACAUUUAUAUUGAUGACAAGUAAAACAGUAAUAUAUUUAAAUUCAGAUAUCUUUUGUCCUGCAUUCAAGUUAAAGUUGGGAGAUAGACUUAAAAAACUAAUAAUAGAGAUCUCAGAUCUUGCUUAUACUUACAUUUUGACAUGUCAGCUUAUGUAUUAAAAUUCAGCUAAGGGUAAGAACCCAACAUUAUCAUCAGCACUGAAUUUCCAUCUUGUAAGUAAAGAUACUGUUACUGACUAAAACAAGACUGUGUCUUGUUCCUGUGCAGUCAAGUAGCAAAGAAAAAGAACUUCAGAGUCUUUGACUGAUACUGUCUCAUGCAUUUGCUACUUCCAUCCCCAUUAGUGGUUGUGGUGGUGCAUUUCUCUCCCUUUCCAGGCUGUUCUACACCCCGGGAGUUGCUGACUAGGCCUCAGUGCCUGGAGUAAGGAGUUAGGCAGUUGAGCACCCCUUGACCAUACCAGUAACUCCUACUCGACUGAGGCAGAGUGGCACUGCCUGUGCUGGAACUCCCAUUGACUGGCCAAAGCAGGGAAUGAGAACG